Molecule: ribosomal RNA, 499 nt
Filed under: uncultured bacterium
Lineage: Bacteria
Description: partial 16S ribosomal RNA
Rfam family: Bacterial small subunit ribosomal RNA
Source: RNAcentral
GACGAACGCUGGCGGCGUGCUUAACACAUGCAAGUCGAACGGGCCCGCCCCUGUUUUUGGGGGUGGGUUGAGUGGCGAACGGGUGAGUAUCACGUGAGUAACCUGCCCCCUGCUCCUGGAUAACUGCUUGAAAGGGCGGCUAAUACGGGGUGUGCCGGCUGGUCCGCAUGGGCCUGGUCGGGAUAGUUUCAUCUUCGGGUGUUUCGGUGGGGGAUGGGCUCGCGGCCUAUCAGCUUGUUGGUGGGGUGAUGGCCCACCAAGGCGGUGACGGGUAGCCGGCCUGAGAGGGUGGGCGGCCACACUGGGACUGAGACACGGCCCAGACUCCUGCGGGAGGCAGCAGUGGGGGGUAUUGCACAAUGGGCGGAAGCCUGAUGCAGCGACGUCGCGUGAGGGAUGGAGGCCUUCGGGUUGUGAACCUCUUUCUCCGGUGGUGAAGGCCCUGUCCGUUGCGGCGGGGCUGACGGUAGCCGGGUAUGAAGCGCCGGCUAACUACGUG